RNAcentral lists this microRNA precursor (96 nucleotides) under Procavia capensis (Cape rock hyrax). Its description in RNAcentral is "miRNA (ENSPCAG00000020349.1)". Lineage: Eukaryota; Metazoa; Chordata; Mammalia; Hyracoidea; Procaviidae. The record is from RNAcentral.
AUCUAGUGAUCGUAUUAGAGUCCAGAUUCUGAUUCAGUAGGACUUGGGUGGGGCUUGAGAAUCUGCAUUCCUAACAAGUUCCCAGGUGAUGCCAAU